UAACAUUGAUUUUGUAAAAAAUUACAAUAUAUGCCAUUAGAGAUCUCUAAUCAUAAUCAUUUUAAUUCCAUGUCACUAAUAUAUAUUAACGGUUCAACGGGUCAAACAGGUUUAAAGAUAUUAAAGAGAUUUUGUUUAGAUUUUAUAAUUGUUAUAAAUAAAAUUUAUAAAGAAAAUGUUGUUAUUCACGUAUGAUAAA
RNAcentral lists this long non-coding RNA (199 nucleotides) under Arabidopsis lyrata. RNAcentral's name for it is "long non-coding RNA (ALYR_LNC000472)". The record is from RNAcentral. Lineage: Eukaryota; Viridiplantae; Streptophyta; Magnoliopsida; Brassicales; Brassicaceae.